RNAcentral lists this ribosomal RNA (435 nucleotides) under uncultured bacterium. RNAcentral describes it as "bacterial SSU rRNA". It matches the Rfam family "Bacterial small subunit ribosomal RNA", at positions 85 to 518 of the family's 1533-position model. The record is from RNAcentral.
UUGCCGGCGACCGGCGGAUGGGUGCGUAACGCGUAUGCAACCUACCUUAUACAGGGGAAUAACCUUUCGAAAGGGAGACUAACACCCCAUGGUAUUGAUUUAAGGCAUCUUAGAUUAAUUAAAUAUUUAUAGGUAUAAGAUGGGCAUGCGUAUGAUUAGCUAGUUGGUAAGGUAACGGCUUACCAAGGCGACGAUCAUUAGGGGUUCUGAGAGGAAGGUCCCCACACUGGUACUGAGACACGGACCAGACUCCUACGGGAGGCAGCAGUGAGGAAUAUUGGUCAAUGGGCGCAAGCCUGAACCAGCCAUGCCGCGUGCAGGAAGACGGCCUUAUGGGUUGUAAACUGUCUUUUACAUAAGACUAACCGUAUAUUUGCGAAUAUACCUGAAUGUAUUAUGAGAAUAAGGAUCGGCUAACUCCGUGCCAGCCGCUGC